UCUUUAGCUACAGAUCCUGUGUGAGGUGAUUUCAUCAAGGUCUCUAUAGCUACAGAUCAGACCCUGUGUGAGGUGAUUUCAUCAAAGUCUCUAUAGCUACAGACCCUGUGUGAGGUGAUAUAUAGCUAGCAAUGUAAAUGUAGCUAGCAAAGUAAUGUAAGUCGCUCUGGAUAAGAGCGUCUGCUAAAUGACUUAAAUGAAAAUGAAAUGAAAUGAAAAUAUAUAGCUAGGGAGAAGACCCGUGUGAGGCGAUAUAUAGCUAGCGAGAAGACCUGUGUGAGGUGAUAUAUAGCUAGGGAGAAGACCUGUGUGAGGUGAUAUAUAGCUAGGGAGAAGACCUGUGUGAGGUGAUAUAUAGCUAGGGAGAAGACCUGUGUGAGGUGAUAUAUAGCUAGGGAGAAGACCUGUGUGAGGUGGAACUGGGAACCUAUAGAAUAGUCGUGAAAACUGCAAAUUCCACCCAUCUGGAACUGCCAAGCAGGCAAAUGCAAAAUGCUAAAAGUAUUUGAUUGAUUUCAAGUAGUGUUUAAACCCAGGUCUCCAUCCCAGUCGGUGACUGGUUAGACUGAAGCACUGCUGAGCUGGUUUUCUCGCAAAGCCCAG
Molecule: long non-coding RNA, 603 nt
Filed under: Salmo salar (Atlantic salmon)
Lineage: Eukaryota; Metazoa; Chordata; Actinopteri; Salmoniformes; Salmonidae
Description: lncRNA (ENSSSAG00000121344.1)
Rfam family: UnaL2 LINE 3' element (bases 144-197)
Source: RNAcentral